AGUGAACGCUGGCGGUAGGCCUAACACAUGCAAGUCGAACGGCAGCACAGUAAGAGCUUGCUCUUACGGGUGGCGAGUGGCGGACGGGUGAGGAAUACAUCGGAAUCUACUUUUUCGUGGGGGAUAACGUAGGGAAACUUACUCUAAUACCGCAUACGACCUACGGGUGAAAGCAGGGGAUCUUCGGACCUUGCGCGAUUGAAUGAGCCGAUGUCAGAUUAGCUAGUUGGCGGGGUAAAGGCCCACCAAGGCGACGAUCCGUAGCUGGUCUGAGAGGAUGAUCAGCCACACGGGAACUGAGACACGGUCCAGACUCCUACGGGAGGCAGCAGUGGGGAAUAUUGGACAAAGGGGGAAAGCCUGAUACAGCCAUACCGCGUGGGUGAAGAAGGCCUUCGGGUUGUAAAGCCCUUUUGUUGGGAAAGAAAAGCAGCAGGUUAAUACCCCGCUGUUCUGACGGUACCCAAAGAAUAAGCACCGGCUAACUUCGUG
This 492-nucleotide ribosomal RNA is filed under the name uncultured bacterium. Its description in RNAcentral is "partial 16S ribosomal RNA". It matches the Rfam family "Bacterial small subunit ribosomal RNA", at positions 29 to 507 of the family's 1533-position model. The record is from RNAcentral.